RNAcentral lists this unclassified non-coding RNA (238 nucleotides) under Chalara sp. RNAcentral's name for it is "partial contains 5.8S ribosomal RNA, internal transcribed spacer 2, and large subunit ribosomal RNA". Lineage: Eukaryota; Fungi; Ascomycota; Leotiomycetes; Helotiales. The record is from RNAcentral.
CGCACAUUGCGCCCCUUGGUAUUCCGGGGGGCAUGCCUGUUCGAGCGUCAUUACAACCCUCAAGCUUUGCUUGGUUAUGGGCCGUGCCGGCAACGGCUGGCCCCAAAAUUAGUGGCGGUGCCAUCGUGCUCUCAGCGUAGUAAUUCUUCUCGCUGUUGGGUCCCGGUGGACGCUGGCCAGCAACCCCCAAUUUUUUAUGGUUGACCUCGGAUCAGGUAGGGAUACCCGCUGAACUUAA